GUGGUAAUGCCGGAUGUUCCACAUGAUCGCAUGUGAUUGUGGGAAAGAUUCUAUCGGCGUGGGAUGGGGUCGCGUCCUAUCAGCUUGUUGGUGAGGUAACGGCUCACCAAGGCUUCGACGGGUAGCCGGCCUGAGAGGGCGACCGGCCACAUUGGGACUGAGAUACGGCCCAGACUCCUACGGGAGGCAGCAGUGGGGAAUAUUGCACAAUGGGCGCAAGCCUGAUGCAGCGACGCCGCGUGAGGGAUGGAGGCCUUCGGGUUGUAAACCUCUUUUGUUUGGGAGCAAGCCUUCGGGUGAGUGUACCUUUCGAAUAAGCGCCGGCUAACUACGUGCCAGCAGCCGCGGUAAUACGUAGGGCGCAAGCGUUAUCCGGAUUUAUUGGGCGUAAAGGGCUCGUAGGCGGCUCGUCGCGUCCGGUGUGAAAGUCCAUCGCUUAACGGUGGAUCUGCGCCGGGUACGGGCGGGCUGGAGUGCGGUAGGGGAGACUGGAAUUCCCGGUGUAACGGUGGAAUGUGUAGAUAUCGGG
This 529-nucleotide ribosomal RNA is filed under the name Bifidobacterium bifidum. Its description in RNAcentral is "bacterial SSU rRNA". It matches the Rfam family "Bacterial small subunit ribosomal RNA", at positions 160 to 701 of the family's 1533-position model. Lineage: Bacteria; Bacillati; Actinomycetota; Actinomycetes; Bifidobacteriales; Bifidobacteriaceae. The record is from RNAcentral.